AUAUUCUAUUAAAACUUACCAUUCAUGUAGGUUAAACCACUGUAACGGAUCUCUGUUUUUAUGUCUUUUCUUCUUUGAAUUUUCCUUCCUACAUCAUUUAUCUUACAUAUACUCUCCUUCACCUAACUACUGAAGGGAUUUUUGUUGCAAACAAAUCUUUUUUUCCAUCAUUUAUCCUGCCUCAGGUACUCCUUUACAGCAAUGCAAAAACAGUCUAAUAUAACUUCCGAAGAAAUUGGAAGUUGGCCAGGCUCAACUACUUGGGAGGCUGAGGGAGGAGACUUGCUUGAA
RNAcentral lists this long non-coding RNA (291 nucleotides) under Homo sapiens (human). RNAcentral describes it as "non-protein coding lnc-JAM2-12:1". The record is from RNAcentral. Lineage: Eukaryota; Metazoa; Chordata; Mammalia; Primates; Hominidae.